GGGGCUGUAGCUCAGUUGGUAGAGCGCCUGCUUUGCAAGCAGGAUGUCAGGAGUUCGAAUCUCCUCAGCUCCA
This 73-nucleotide transfer RNA is filed under the name uncultured Verrucomicrobiales bacterium HF0200_39L05. Its description in RNAcentral is "tRNA-Ala". It matches the Rfam family "tRNA". Rfam says of the family: Transfer RNA (tRNA) molecules are approximately 80 nucleotides in length. RNAcentral also lists the same sequence under 1 other name. The record is from RNAcentral. Lineage: Bacteria; Pseudomonadati; Verrucomicrobiota; Verrucomicrobiia; Verrucomicrobiales.